This 875-nucleotide ribosomal RNA is filed under the name uncultured Nitrososphaerota archaeon. Its description in RNAcentral is "bacterial SSU rRNA". It matches the Rfam family "Archaeal small subunit ribosomal RNA", at positions 21 to 904 of the family's 1478-position model. Lineage: Archaea; Thermoproteati; Nitrososphaerota. The record is from RNAcentral.
CCUGACUGCUAUCGGAUUGAUACUAAGCCAUGCGAGUCUUUGCAGUAAUGCAAGGCAUACGGCUCAGUAACACGUAGUCAACUUACCCUAUGGACGAGGAUAAUCUCGGGAAACUGAGCAUAAUACUCGAUAGAUCAUAAUGCCUGGAAUGGUUUAUGGUUGAAAUGAUUCGUCGCCAUAGGAUGGGACUGCGGCCUAUCAGCUUGUUGGUGAGGUAAUGGCCCACCAAGGCGAUUACAGGUACGGGCUCUGAGAGGAGAAGCCCGGAGAUGGGUACUGAGACAAGGACCCAGGCCCUAUGGGGCGCAGCAGGCGAGAAAACUUUGCAAUGUGCGAAAGCACGACAAGGUUAAUCCGAGUGAUUUCUGCUAAAGAAAUCUUUUGCAAGUCAUAAAACCACUAGUGAAUAAGGGGUGGGCAAGUUCUGGUGUCAGCCGCCGCGGUAAAACCAGCACCUCAAGUGGUCAGGAGGAUAUUGGGCCUAAAGCAUCCGUAGCCGGCUCUGUAAGUUUUCGGUUAAAUCCAUGUGCUCAACGCAUGGGCUGCCGAAAAUACUGCAUAGCUAGGGAGUGGGAGAGGUAGACGGUACUCGGUAGGAAGGGGUAAAAUCCUUUGAUCUAUCGAUGACCACCUGUGGCGAAGGCGGUCUACCAGAACACGUUCGACGGUGAGGGAUGAAAGCUGGGGGAGCAAACCGGAUUAGAUACCCGGGUAGUCCCAGCUGUAAACGAUGCAGACUCGAUGAUGCAUUGGCAUAUAGCCAGUGCAGUGUCGCAGGGAAGCCGUUAAGUCUGUCGCCUGGGAAGUACGUACGCAAGUAUGAAACUUAAAGGAAUUGGCGGGGGAGCACCACAAGGGGUGAAGCCUGCGGUUCA